This 621-nucleotide ribosomal RNA is filed under the name uncultured bacterium. Its description in RNAcentral is "bacterial SSU rRNA". The stretch from base 1 to 544 matches the Rfam family "Bacterial small subunit ribosomal RNA", at positions 338 to 873 of the family's 1533-position model. The record is from RNAcentral.
CCUACGGGAGGCAGCAGUGGGGAAUUUUGGACAAUGGGCGCAAGCCUGAUCCAGCCAUGCCGCGUGAGUGAAGAAGGCCUUCGGGUUGUAAAGCUCUUUCGGUAGGAACGAAAUGGUUCGUGCUAAUACCACGGACUGAUGACGGUACCUGAAGAAGAAGCACCGGCUAACUACGUGCCAGCAGCCGCGGUAAUACGUAGGGUGCAGGCGUUAAUCGGAAUUACUGGGCGUAAAGCGUGCGCAGGCGGUUUCUUAAGUCAGAUGUGAAAGCCCCGGGCUUAACCUGGGAACUGCGUUUGAAACUGGGAGACUAGAGUGUGGUAGAGGGGGGUGGAAUUCCACGUGUAGCAGUGAAAUGCGUAGAUAUGUGGAGGAACACCGAUGGCGAAGGCAGCCCCCUGGGUUAACACUGACGCUCAUGCACGAAAGCGUGGGGAGCAAACAGGAUUAGAUACCCUGGUAGUCCACGCCCUAAACCUAUGUCAACUGGUUGUCGGGGGAUUAGCUCCCUUGGUAACGAAGCUAACGCGUGAAGUUGACCGCCUGGGGGAGGACGGCCGCGAAGGUAAACGUACGAAGGUAAGUAGAGCGUGAGAGUGCGAGGCGCGACGAGGGAGGAGG